CCUACGGGCGGCAGCAGUGGGGAAUAUUGCACAAUGGGCGCAAGCCUGAUGCAGCCAUGCCGCGUGUGUGAAGAAGGCCUUCGGGUUGUAAAGCACUUUCAGCGGGGAGGAAGGCGUUAAGGUUAAUAACCUUGGCGAUUGACGUUACCCGCAGAAGAAGCACCGGCUAACUCCGUGCCAGCAGCCGCGGUAAUACGGAGGGUGCAAGCGUUAAUCGGAAUUACUGGGCGUAAAGCGCACGCAGGCGGUCUGUCAAGUCGGAUGUGAAAUCCCCGGGCUCAACCUGGGAACUGCAUUCGAAACUGGCAGGCUAGAGUCUUGUAGAGGGGGGUAGAAUUCCAGGUGUAGCGGUGAAAUGCGGAGAGGUCUGGAGGAAUACCGGUGGCGAAGGCGGCCCCCGGGACAAAGACUGACGGUCAGGUGCGAAAGCGUGGGGAGCAAACAGGAUUAGAUACCCGAGUAGUC
This 465-nucleotide ribosomal RNA is filed under the name uncultured Klebsiella sp. RNAcentral's name for it is "bacterial SSU rRNA". It matches the Rfam family "Bacterial small subunit ribosomal RNA", at positions 338 to 795 of the family's 1533-position model. Lineage: Bacteria; Pseudomonadati; Pseudomonadota; Gammaproteobacteria; Enterobacterales; Enterobacteriaceae. The record is from RNAcentral.